GUGGACCUGGACUUUGUUGUGUUACUACAACUGGUCUGAAAUGGAUGAGUGCACCCUGCUGUUGCAGCGUCUUCAGUGUGAUAAGCAUCUUCACUGAUUCAAGUUCCUUCCGGACACGUGUGCAUUGUGGGCUCUGUGCUGGCAAACCGUCUUUGGACAAUCUUGACAAUUUGACCUCAGAUCGGGUGGGACUACCCGCUGAACUUAAGCAUAUCAAUAAGCGGAGGAAAAGAAACUAACAAGGAUUCCCCUAGUAACGGCGAGUGAAGAGGGAAAAGCUCAAAUUUUGAAUCUGGUGUCUUCGGCGCCCGAGUUGUAAUCUAGAGAAGUGUUUUCUGCCUCGGACCACACAUAAAUUCCCUGGAAUGGGGUGUCAUAGAGGGUGAGAAUCCCGUUUGUGGUGUGGACUACCUUGGCUCUGUGAUACACUCUCAACGAGUCGAGUUGUUUGGGAAUGCAGCUCAAAAUGGGUGGUAAAUUCCAUCUAAAGCUAAAUAUUGGCGAGAGACCGAUAGCGAACAAGUACCGUGAGGGAAAGAUGAAAAGCACUUUGGAAAGAGAGUGAAACAGUACGUGAAAUUGUUGAAAGGGAAGCGUUUGAAGUCAGUCACAUUGGUCGGAAUUCAGCCUGGCUUCUGCCUGGUGUACUUUCUGGCAAAUGGGUCAGCGUCAAUUUUGACCGAGAGAAAAAGACUUGAGGAAUGUGGCUGUCUUCGGGCAGUGUUAUAGCCU
This 732-nucleotide ribosomal RNA is filed under the name uncultured Sebacinaceae. Its description in RNAcentral is "eukaryotic LSU rRNA". The stretch from base 172 to 732 matches the Rfam family "Eukaryotic large subunit ribosomal RNA", at positions 1 to 564 of the family's 3401-position model. Lineage: Eukaryota; Fungi; Basidiomycota; Agaricomycetes; Sebacinales; Sebacinaceae. The record is from RNAcentral.